GGUUAAGCGACUAAGCGUACACGGUGGAUGCCCUGGCAGUCAGAGGCGAUGAAGGACGUGCUAAUCUGCGAUAAGCGUCGGUAAGGUGAUAUGAACCGUUAUAACCGGCGAUUUCCGAAUGGGGAAACCCAGUGUGUUUCGACACACUAUCAUUAACUGAAUCCAUAGGUUAAUGAGGCGAACCGGGGGAACUGAAACAUCUAAGUACCCCGAGGAAAAGAAAUCAACCGAGAUUCCCCCAGUAGCGGCGAGCGAACGGGGAGCAGCCCAGAGCCUGAAUCAGUGUGUGUGUUAGUGGAAGCGUCUGGAAAGGCGCGCGAUACAGGGUGACAGCCCCGUACACAAAAAUGCACAUGCUGUGAGCUCGAUGAGUAGGGCGGGACACGUGGUAUCCUGUCUGAAUAUGGGGGGACCAUCCUCCAAGGCUAAAUACUCCUGACUGACCGAUAGUGAACCAGUACCGUGAGGGAAAGGCGAAAAGAACCCCGGCGAGGGGAGUGAAAAAGAACCUGAAACCGUGUACGUACAAGCAGUGGGAGCACGCUUAGGCGUGUGACUGCGUACCUUUUGUAUAAUGGGUCAGCGACUUAUAUUCUGUAGCAAGGUUAACCGAAUAGGGGAGCCGAAGGGAAACCGAGUCUUAACUGGGCGUUAAGUUGCAGGGUAUAGACCCGAAACCCGGUGAUCUAGCCAUGGGCAGGUUGAAGGUUGGGUAACACUAACUGGAGGACCGAACCGACUAAUGUUGAAAAAUUAGCGGAUGACUUGUGGCUGGGGGUGAAAGGCCAAUCAAACCGGGAGAUAGCUGGUUCUCCCCGAAAGCUAUUUAGGUAGCGCCUCGUGAAUUCAUCUCCGGGGGUAGAGCACUGUUUCGGCAAGGGGGUCAUCCCGACUUACCAACCCGAUGCAAACUGCGAAUACCGGAGAAUGUUAUCACGGGAGACACACGGCGGGUGCUAACGUCCGUCGUGAAGAGGGAAACAACCCAGACCGCCAG
RNAcentral lists this ribosomal RNA (997 nucleotides) under Escherichia coli. RNAcentral's name for it is "partial 23S ribosomal RNA". It matches the Rfam family "Bacterial large subunit ribosomal RNA", at positions 1 to 1038 of the family's 2925-position model. Lineage: Bacteria; Pseudomonadati; Pseudomonadota; Gammaproteobacteria; Enterobacterales; Enterobacteriaceae. The record is from RNAcentral.